Molecule: ribosomal RNA, 672 nt
Filed under: Triticum aestivum (bread wheat)
Lineage: Eukaryota; Viridiplantae; Streptophyta; Magnoliopsida; Poales; Poaceae
Description: partial small subunit ribosomal RNA
Source: RNAcentral
AUGUACAAAGGUGCCAAAGGCGAUUGCAGUGUGAUACUUGAGGCAAUGGACACACAGGAUCUCUGGAUUUGGCACUCCUUCUUUGGUAUGCCAGGAACUCACAAUGACAUCAACGUACUGCAGUUCUCACCAGUCUUUGCCAAGCUUGUUGAAGGUCAUGCUCCUCCGGUGAACUUCGAGGUCAAUGGGCACCACUACAACAAGGGAUACUACCUAGUAGAUGGCAUCUAUCCGAGAUGGUCCACAUUUGUGAAGACUAUCUCAAACCCUGUGCCAAGAGGCAAGAACUCCUACUUUGCCAGGUGUCAGGAGGCUUGCAGGAAGGAUGUCGAGCGGGCAUUUGGUGUGCUCCAAUCUCGAUUUGCUCUUGUCCGGUACCCCGCUCAGACCUGGUUGAAAGAUCAAAUGUGGGAAGUCAUGACUUGCUGUGUCAUCUUGCACAACAUGAUCACUGAGAGCGAGCAGGAAGAGGCAGUGUUUGACAAUGAACCAUAUUACAGGCAAGGCCCUCUUGCCCAAGUUGAUCACCAGCUACGGCAACCUGGACUGCUUCCUCAACAUGCAUUAGGAGAUCUGAGACCCACAAGUGCAGCAACAACUACUGCAAGAUCUGGUGGAGCACCUAUGGAGGCUCAAGGGCAAACGCCUAGCUUGACGCGUGAUGAAAUAUGA